This 2040-nucleotide long non-coding RNA is filed under the name Homo sapiens (human). RNAcentral's name for it is "non-protein coding lnc-SLC38A9-4:1". The record is from RNAcentral. Lineage: Eukaryota; Metazoa; Chordata; Mammalia; Primates; Hominidae.
AUCCACCAUGUGAGGACACAGAGAGAAGACACCAUCUAUGAACCAGGAAAUGGGCCCUCACCAGACACUGAAUCUGCUGGUGCCUUGAUCUCAGACUUCUGACUCUCCAGAACUGGUCCAAGGACGUAACCAGAUCAUACAACACGCGCCAGGAAAGCCCAAAAGAGGGGUGAUCCCUCGAUGGAGGUGCCGCAUCAGCGUUUUCUCACGUGGCCUCCGGGGCUCUAUGAAUGGCAAGAGAUUGCAUUCCUUCUACUACCCCUCCCAGCCUCCAGCCGGGACAAGGAACUGGAGCAAACUCGGGGCUGCAGUUCCGACUGGACUCGCCCACCUGGGCGCGCCGGCUGCCCAGCCUCCUGAAGCCUCGGGGCUGGGCCCUGCGGUGAUGGGCGUGCUGGCCGUCGCAGAGCCCUCUGGGAGUUGUAGUCCGUAGCGGCGAGAGGUUUGACAGCGACCGCGGGCUUGGCGCAUUCAGAACUCCAACUCCCGCCGGCCCCUGCGACCCAGGCUAUUGCCGCUUCCUGUUUGGACUAGGAGCCCCGCGGUCGCAAAUUGCGAGAAUUUGGGAAGGGAAUCUUUAUCUUCUCGUCUAGUUCUCCGAGGUUGAAGGCUCGGCCUGCUCAGAGAAGGAAACUGAGGUCCACCGAGUUGGAGAAACCUACUCAACACCAGGACUAACUUCUUCAGUGCUUAGAGUGUGAGAAAAAUGGCAAAUAUGAAUAGUGAUUCUAGGCAUCUUGGCACCUCUGAGGUAGAUCAUGAAAGAGAUCCUGGACCUAUGAAUAUCCAGUUUGAGCCAUCGGAUCUAAGAUCCAAAAGCCGCCUGCCUUGGCCUCCCAAAGUGCCGAGAUUGCAGCCUCUGCCCGGCCGCCACCCCGUCUGGGAAGUGAGGAGCGUCUCUGCCUGGCCGCCCAUCGUCUGGGAUGUGAGGAGCCCCUCUGCCUGGCUGCCCAGUCUGGAAAGUGAGGAGCGUCUCUGCCCCGCCGCCAUCCCAUCUGGGAAGUGAGGAGCGCCUCUUCCCGGCCACCAUCACAUCUAGGAAGUGAGGAGCGUCUCUGCCCCGCUGCCCAUCGUCUGGGAUGUGGGGAGCGCCUCUGCCCCGCCGCCUCGUCUGGGAUGUGAGGAGCGCCUCUGCCCGGCCGCCACCCCGUCUGGGAGGUGAGGAGCGUCUCUGCCCGGCCGCCCCGUCUGAGAAGAGAGGAGACCCUCCGCCCGGCAGCCGCCCCGUAUGAGAAGUGAGGAGCCUCUCCACCCGGCAGCCACCCCGUCUGGGAAGUGAGGAGCGUCUCCGCCCGGCAGCCACCCCGUCCGGGAGGGAGGUGGGGGGGUCAGCCCCCCGCCUGGCCAGCCGCCCCGUCCGGGAGGUGAGGGGCGCCUCUGCCCGGCCGCCCCUACUGGGAAGUGAGGAGCCCCUCUGCCCGGCCAGCCGCCCCGUCCGGGAGGGAGGUGAGGGGGUCAGCCCCCCGCCCGGCCAGCCGCCCCGUCUGGGAGGGAGGUGGGGGGGGUCAGCCCCCCGCCCGGCCAGCCGCCCCGUCCAGGAGGUGAGGGGCGCCUCUGCCCGGCCCGCCCCUACUGGGAAGUGAGGAGCCCCUCUGCCUGGCCAGCCGCCCCGUCCGGGAGGGAGGUGGGGGGGUCAGCCCCCCGCCCGGCCAGCCGCCCCGUCCGGGAGGGAGGUGGGGGGGUCAGCCCCCCGCCCGGCCAGCCGCCCAGUCCGGGAGGGAGGUGGGGGGAUCAGCCCCCCGCCCGGCCAGCCGCCCGUCCGGGAGGUGAGGGGCGCCUCUGCCCGGCCGUCUCUACUGGGAAGUGAGGAGCCCCUCUGCCCAGCCAGCCGCCCCGUCCGUGAGGGAGGUGGGGGGGUCAGCCCCCCGCCCGGUCAGCCGCCCGGUCCGGGAGGGAGGUGGGGGGGUCAGCCCCCCACCCGGCCAGCCGCCCCGUCCGGGAGGGAGGUGGGGGGGUCAGCCCCCCGCCCGGCCAGCCGCCCCGUCCGGGAGGGAGGUGGGGGGGUCAGCCCCCCGCCCGGCCAGCUGCCCCGUCCGGGAG